Non-coding RNA from Parelaphostrongylus tenuis, 67 nucleotides. NCBI's taxonomy places the organism in Eukaryota, Metazoa, Nematoda, Chromadorea, Rhabditida, Metastrongylidae. The record is from the annotation of a GenBank genome assembly.
GCCAGUGCAGUGGUUAGCAUACGCUCCUGGAAAGAGUGAGACGCGGAUUCGACUUCCGAGUGGGGUU